UACAGAGGGUGCAAGCGUUGUUCGGAAUUAUUGGGCGUAAAGCGCGUGUAGGCGGCAUGGCAAGUCGGGUGUGAAAGCCCUCAGCUUAACUGAGGAAGUGCGCCCGAAACUGCCGUGCUUGAGUGCCGGAGAGGGUGGCGGAAUGGAUGGUGUAGCGGUGAAAUGCAUAGAUACCAUCCAGAACCCCGAUUGCGAAGGCAGCUGCCUAGACUGUAACUGACGCUGAGGCACGAAAGCGUGGGGAGCGAACAGG
Molecule: ribosomal RNA, 253 nt
Filed under: uncultured bacterium
Lineage: Bacteria
Description: partial 16S ribosomal RNA
Rfam family: Bacterial small subunit ribosomal RNA
Source: RNAcentral